GACGAACGCUGGCGGCGUGCUUAACACAUGCAAGUCGAACGGAAAGGCCCUGCUUUUGUGGGGUGCUCGAUUGGCGAACGGGUGAGUAACACGUGAGUAACCUGCCCUUGACUUUGGGAUAACUUCAGGAAACUGGGGCUAAUACCGGAUAGGAGCUCCUGCUGCAUGGUGGGGGUUGGAAAGUUUCGGCGGUUGGGGAUGGACUCGCGGCUUAUCAGCUUGUUGGUGGGGUAGUGGCUUACCAAGGUUUUGACGGGUAGCCGGCCUGGGAGGGUGACCGGCCACAUUGGGACUGAGAUACGGCCCAGACUCCUACGGGAGGCAGCAGUGGGGAAUAUUGCACAAUGGGCGGAAGCCUGAUGCAGCAACGCCGCGUGCGGGAUGACGGCCUUCGGGUUGUAAACCGCUUUCGCCUGUGACGAAGCGUGAGUGACGGUAAUGGGUAAAGAAGCACCGGCUAACUACGUG
Molecule: ribosomal RNA, 468 nt
Filed under: uncultured bacterium
Lineage: Bacteria
Description: partial 16S ribosomal RNA
Rfam family: Bacterial small subunit ribosomal RNA
Source: RNAcentral